RNAcentral lists this ribosomal RNA (461 nucleotides) under uncultured bacterium. RNAcentral describes it as "bacterial SSU rRNA". It matches the Rfam family "Bacterial small subunit ribosomal RNA", at positions 338 to 791 of the family's 1533-position model. The record is from RNAcentral.
CCUACGGGCGGCACCAGUAGGGAAUCUUCGGCAAUGGACGAAAGUCUGACCGAGCAACGCCGCGUGAGUGAAGAAGGUUUUCGGAUCGUAAAACUCUGUUGUUAGAGAAGAACAAGUAGGAGAGUAACUGCUCUUACCUUGACGGUAUCUAACCAGAAAGCCACGGCUAACUACGUGCCAGCAGCCGCGGUAAUACGUAGGUGGCAAGCGUUGUCCGGAUUUAUUGGGCGUAAAGCGAGCGCAGGCGGUCUUUUAAGUCUGAUGUGAAAGCCCUCGGCUCAACCGAGGAAGGUCAUUGGAAACUGGAGGACUUGAGUGCAGAAGAGGAGAGUGGAAUUCCAUGUGUAGCGGUGAAAUGCGUAGAUAUAUGGAGGAACACCAGUGGCGAAGGCGACUCUCUGGUCUGUAACUGACGCUGAGGCUCGAAAGCGUGGGGAGCAAACAGGAUUAGAUACCCGAGU